GCUGUGAUGACUUCGUGGCAAUGAUCAAUUUGAAUUGAUUUAGUCCACAUGUCCUCUAAGAAGUUCUGAGCUU
Molecule: small nucleolar RNA, 73 nt
Organism: Trichomycterus rosablanca
Lineage: Eukaryota; Metazoa; Chordata; Actinopteri; Siluriformes; Trichomycteridae
Product: small nucleolar RNA SNORD61
Exons: 1
Source: RefSeq, a predicted model, not a curated record